This is a non-coding RNA of Vicia faba (fava bean), 234 nucleotides long. Lineage: Eukaryota; Viridiplantae; Streptophyta; Magnoliopsida; Fabales; Fabaceae. The record is from the annotation of a GenBank genome assembly.
AUGGGAGGCAAGAAGUCAUCUUCAUUCUCAUUUUGUGGAAUGUUCAAAUCAUGUUUCUCAAGUGAAAGCAAAAAUGAUUACUAUUAUGAAGGGAGUAGCAGCAGGAUGUUUACAAGUGAUGAAGACAGAGGUCGUUGGGUUGCUGAGCCUGGUAUUGACAGGAAAGCAUCUGCUUUCAUUGCUAGAUUCUAUGCAAACCGAGUCACUGAUUCUGAACAACAAAUUGCUUCUUGA